UACAGAGGGUGCAAGCGUUAAUCGGAAUUACUGGGCGUAAAGCGUGCGUAGACGGUUAUGUAAGUCGGAUGUGAAAGCCCCGGGCUCAACCUGGGAAUUGCAUUCGAGACUGCAUAGCUAGGAUGCGGAAGAGGGAAGCGGAAUUUCCGGUGUAGCGGUGAAAUGCGUAGAUAUCGGAAGGAACACCAGUGGCGAAAGCGGCUUCCUGGUCCAGCAUCGACGUUCAGGCACGAAAGCGUGGGGAGCAAACAGG
RNAcentral lists this ribosomal RNA (253 nucleotides) under uncultured bacterium. Its description in RNAcentral is "partial 16S ribosomal RNA". It matches the Rfam family "Bacterial small subunit ribosomal RNA", at positions 524 to 776 of the family's 1533-position model. The record is from RNAcentral.